CCUACGGGAGGCAGCAGUCGAGAAUCAUUCACAAUGGGGGAAACCCUGAUGGUGCGACGCCGCGUGGGGGAAUGAAGGUCUUCGGAUUGUAAACCCCUGUUAUGUGGGAGCAAAUUAAAAAGAUAGUACCACAAGAGGAAGAGCCGGCUAACUCUGUGCCAGUAGCCGCGGUAAUACAGAGGUCUUAAGCGUUGUUCGGAAUCACUGGGCGUAAAGGGUGCGUAGGCUGUUUCGUAAGUCGUGUGUGAAAGGCGCGGGCUCAACCCGCGGACGGCACAUGAUACUGCGGGACUAGAGUAAUGGAGGGGGAACCGGAAUGCUCGGUGUAGCAGUGAAAUGCGUAGAUAUCGAGAGGAACACUCGUGGCGAAGGCGGGUUCCUGGACAUUAACUGACGCUGAGGCACGAAGGCCAGGGGAGCGAAAGGGAUUAGAUACCCUAGUAGUC
This 446-nucleotide ribosomal RNA is filed under the name uncultured bacterium. RNAcentral's name for it is "partial 16S ribosomal RNA". It matches the Rfam family "Bacterial small subunit ribosomal RNA", at positions 338 to 795 of the family's 1533-position model. The record is from RNAcentral.